Molecule: ribosomal RNA, 445 nt
Filed under: uncultured bacterium
Lineage: Bacteria
Description: partial 16S ribosomal RNA
Rfam family: Bacterial small subunit ribosomal RNA
Source: RNAcentral
GUGAGGAAUAUUGGUCAAUGGGCGGAAGCCUGAACCAGCCAUCCCGCGUGGAGGAAGACGGCCCUAUGGGUUGUAAACUUCUUUUCAAGGGGAAGAAAGUUCGCGACGUGUCGCGAUUUGCCGGUACCUUUGGAAUAAGCAUCGGCUAACUCCGUGCCAGCAGCCGCGGUAAUACGGAGGAUGCGAGCGUUAUCCGGAUUUAUUGGGUUUAAAGGGUGCGUAGGCCGAUCGAUAAGUCAGCGGUGAAAUACCAUGGCCCAACCAUGGAACUGCCGUUGAUACUGUCGGUCUUGAAUAUGGUCAAGGUAGGCGGAAUGUGUAAUGUAGCGGUGAAAUGCUUAGAUAUUACACAGAACACCGAUUGCGAAGGCAGCUUACUGGUCCAUUAUUGACGCUGAGGCACGAAAGCGUGGGGAUCGAACAGGAUUAGAAACCCUGGUAGUCC